ACGGAGGAUGCAAGCGUUAUCCGGAUUUAUUGGGUUUAAAGGGUGCGCAGGCGGAAUGAUAAGUGAGUGGUGAAAGCUUUCGGCUUAACCGGAAAAUUGCCAUUGAUACUAUUGUUCUUGAGUACAGUUGAGGAAGGCGGAAUGUGUCAUGUAGCGGUGAAAUGAUUAGAUAUGACGCGGAACACCGAUGGCGAAGGCAACUUUCUGGAUUGUAACUGAUACUCAGGCACGAAAGCGUGGGGAGCAAACAG
This 251-nucleotide ribosomal RNA is filed under the name uncultured prokaryote. RNAcentral describes it as "partial 16S rRNA". It matches the Rfam family "Bacterial small subunit ribosomal RNA", at positions 525 to 775 of the family's 1533-position model. The record is from RNAcentral.